RNAcentral lists this ribosomal RNA (556 nucleotides) under uncultured Aspergillus. Its description in RNAcentral is "SSU rRNA". It matches the Rfam family "Eukaryotic small subunit ribosomal RNA", at positions 194 to 755 of the family's 1831-position model. The record is from RNAcentral. Lineage: Eukaryota; Fungi; Ascomycota; Eurotiomycetes; Eurotiales; Aspergillaceae.
GGAAGGGGUGUAUUUAUUAGAUAAAAAACCAAUGCCCUUCGGGGCUCCUUGGUGAAUCAUAAUAACUUAACGAAUCGCAUGGCCUUGCGCCGGCGAUGGUUCAUUCAAAUUUCUGCCCUAUCAACUUUCGAUGGUAGGAUAGUGGCCUACCAUGGUGGCAACGGGUAACGGGGAAUUAGGGUUCGAUUCCGGAGAGGGAGCCUGAGGAACGGCUACCACGUCCAAGGAAGGCAGCAGGCGCGCAAAUUACCCAAUCCCGACACGGGGAGGUAGUGACAAUAAAUACUGAUACGGGGCUCUUUUGGGUCUCGUAAUUGGAAUGAGUACAAUCUAAAUCCCUUAACGAGGAACAAUUGGAGGGCAAGUCUGGUGCCAGCAGCCGCGGUAAUUCCAGCUCCAAUAGCGUAUAUUAAAGUUGUUGCAGUUAAAAAGCUCGUAGUUGAACCUUGGGUCUGGCUGGCCGGUCCGCCUCACCGCGAGUACUGGUCCGGCUGGACCUUUCCUUCUGGGGAAUCUCAUGGCCUUCACUGGCUGUGGGGGGAACCAGGACUUUUAC